RNAcentral lists this ribosomal RNA (515 nucleotides) under uncultured bacterium. Its description in RNAcentral is "bacterial SSU rRNA". It matches the Rfam family "Bacterial small subunit ribosomal RNA", at positions 26 to 518 of the family's 1533-position model. The record is from RNAcentral.
AGGACGAACGCUGGCGGCGUGCCUAACACAUGCAAGUCGAACGGGGAUUUGUUUCGGCAGAAUCCUAGUGGCGAACGGGUGAGUAACGCGUAGGCAACCUGCCCUCCGGCCGGGGACAACACUCCGAAAGGGGUGCUAAUACCGGAUACGAAGUCUGUGCCGCAUGGUACGGAUUUGAAAGAUGGCCUCUAUUUAUAAGCUAUCGCCGGGGGAUGGGCCUGCGUCCGAUUAGCUGGUUGGUGGGGUAACGGCCUACCAAGGCGACGAUCGGUAGCCGGUCUGAGAGGAUGAACGGCCACAUUGGGACUGAGACACGGCCCAGACUCCUACGGGGGGCAGCAGUGGGGAAUCUUCCGCAAUGGGCGCAAGCCUGACGGAGCAACGCCGCCGUGAGUGAGGAAGUUCUUCGGAACGUAAAGCUCUGUUGUUCCUGACGAACCUCCCCUCUAUGAACAACGGAGGGGACUGACGGUAGGGAACGAGGAAGCCACGGCUAACUACGUGCCAGCCGCGGC